This 338-nucleotide small nuclear RNA is filed under the name Nannospalax galili (Upper Galilee mountains blind mole rat). Its description in RNAcentral is "7SK RNA (ENSNGAG00000007969.1)". It matches the Rfam family "7SK RNA". From Rfam's summary of the family: 7SK was discovered as an abundant small nuclear RNA in the mid-70s but a possible function has only recently been suggested. Two independent studies have found that 7SK RNA binds the CDK9/cyclin T complex (known as elongation factor P-TEFb). The record is from Rfam by way of RNAcentral. Lineage: Eukaryota; Metazoa; Chordata; Mammalia; Rodentia; Spalacidae.
AGAUGUAAGGGCAAUCCAGCUGUGACAUCUGUCACCCCAUUGAUUGGUAGGGUUGAUUGAGCUGAUCUGUUUGUCUAGGUGAGUGUUCCCUUUCUCCCUCACUACUCCAUCUGUGUCUUUCCUGAAGCUGUGUGCAUGGUCGGAGAUGAUGACCUUCCUGAUGGAAAAGGCCCCAUCUUGGGUCAAGGGUAUAUGAGUAGCUGUGUUCCCCUGAUGGAACCUCCAAACACGUUCUCAAAAAUUGAAAACAGAACUAUUCUAUAACACAGGUCGUCUUCUUAUAAUAUAUCCUAAAGGAAACAAAAUCAAUACCUGGCAGAAUUCUACAGCCUGUGAUU